Molecule: small RNA, 354 nt
Filed under: Pongo abelii (Sumatran orangutan)
Lineage: Eukaryota; Metazoa; Chordata; Mammalia; Primates; Hominidae
Description: processed transcript
Source: RNAcentral
CUUUAGACUCUGAUCUUAUAUACCAGUGGAAAAACACUGUGUACAACCCAAUGCAGAAAGACCACUAAAGACUUAAUGACCUCUGGAAAGAGGAUUUUAUCACCCUGCAAAGCAAAGAGCCAUUAUCAACUAAAGUAUUAUCUAAAGGCAAUGGGAACAUGGAAUUCAGUGGAGGAAGGAUGUUAAGGCUACCAACUAAGUUCUCACCUUCAGCUACAAGAAUGAGACCUAUAAAAGGGCCACUUGAAGAUGCCAUUGAAGAUGAGGAAGAAGAAUGUCCAUCAGAGGAAACAGACAUCAUCUCCAAAGGAGACUUUCCAUUGGAGGAAAGCUUUUCCACAGAAUUUGGGCCUG